Molecule: ribosomal RNA, 423 nt
Filed under: Triticum aestivum (bread wheat)
Lineage: Eukaryota; Viridiplantae; Streptophyta; Magnoliopsida; Poales; Poaceae
Description: partial small subunit ribosomal RNA
Source: RNAcentral
AUGCUCCAACGCGAACCUCACCAUCGCCACUUGUCACUAUCGCCGGGAGCAACAAGAAGUGCCGACUCCUCCUCCUCCUCCUCCUCCUCCUCCUCCUCCUCCUUCUCGUCCAUAUGCCGAAUGUUAAGAUUCUUUGGCCCGAUUAGCUCCGCGACCGCUAGACUCUCGAUCUUCGGGAGGUUCAUCUCAUGCGCCGAAAUGCCACACGGCGAUAUCAUACGCACACGCGGCCAUGUUGACAGAGUCGAACAUGUCGAUCUAGUAGCUAUAGCCAUCGCACUGGAACUCCACAUCAAAUUUCCUCAUCACCCUGAAGGAACCGGUCUUGCUCUUGGAGAUUUUCUUCGGCGACCGAGCGUCGAGACGAGCACCGGUAGCCGGCGUCGAGGCAAGGAGCGGGGCGGCGGCCGAGCUUCAGAUUGA